CGAGGGGUCCUUCAGUUCGGCUGGCUUCCACACAGGUGCUGCAUGGCUGUCGUCAGCUCGUGUCGUGAGAUGUUGGGUUAAGUCCCGCAACGAGCGCAACCCUUGUCCAUAGUUACUAACGCGUAGUGGCGAGAACUCUAUGGAGACUGCCGGUGAUAAACCGGAGGAAGGUGGGGAUGACGUCAAGUCCUCAUGGCCUUUAUGUCCAGGGCUACACACGUGCUACAAUGGACGGUACAAAGAGUCGCAAAACCGCGAGGUGGAGCUAAUCUCAAAAAGCCGUUCUCAGUUCGGAUUGCUCUCUGCAACUCGAGAGCAUGAAGCUGGAAUCGCUAGUAAUCGCGGAUCAGCACGCCGCGGUGAAUACGUUCCCGGGCCUUGUACACACCGCCCGUCACAUCACGAAAGUGGACCAUACUAGAAGCCGGUGGGCUAACCGCAAGGGAGCAGCCGUCCAAGGUAUAGUUCAUGAUUGGGGUGAAGUCGUAACAAGGUAGCCGUAA
Molecule: ribosomal RNA, 503 nt
Filed under: uncultured Acidobacteriota bacterium
Lineage: Bacteria; Pseudomonadati; Acidobacteriota
Description: bacterial SSU rRNA
Rfam family: Bacterial small subunit ribosomal RNA
Source: RNAcentral